Molecule: unclassified non-coding RNA, 248 nt
Filed under: plant metagenome
Description: partial contains small subunit ribosomal RNA and internal transcribed spacer 1
Rfam family: Eukaryotic small subunit ribosomal RNA (bases 1-46)
Source: RNAcentral
AAGUCGUAACAAGGUUUCCGUAGGUGAACCUGCGGAAGGAUCAUUAUUGUAUCUUUGUUGGGAUUGAGCUGCGCUUUCACUAGCGCGCUUACCCGACCAACCUUUACACACUAUGCGUAUUCUUAUAUGAAUGAUGCUACUUUGGGUGGUGAUUUCACUGCCCAGAGUUCUUAAAAACACAAGAUUUUUUCAAUCUUUUAUUAAAAAAACUCAGUCAAGAAGUUAUUAUAAUACUAUAAUCUUCAAAA